CCGGCUGCCACCGUCGGGGCCGGCAGGAUCGAGUGGCUGAAUCGCCUCAUCGAUCUGGAAUCGAUCUUGUAUCCAUGUUGCUCAAAGGGAGAAUGUGGCUAUGAGCA
Regulatory RNA element from Afipia broomeae ATCC 49717, 107 nucleotides. It matches the Rfam family "Repression of heat shock gene expression (ROSE) element". Rfam says of the family: This family represents a 5' UTR cis-regulatory element found in heat shock mRNAs and is known as the ROSE (repression of heat shock gene expression) element. The ROSE element is a negative regulator of heat shock gene expression. Lineage: Bacteria; Pseudomonadati; Pseudomonadota; Alphaproteobacteria; Hyphomicrobiales; Nitrobacteraceae. The record is from Rfam.